GUGGGUGUAGCUCAGAGGUAGAGCACAUGCUUAGCAUGCAUGAGGUCCUGGGUUCAAUCCCCAGUACUUCCA
This 72-nucleotide transfer RNA is filed under the name Camelus bactrianus (Bactrian camel). It matches the Rfam family "tRNA". Rfam says of the family: Transfer RNA (tRNA) molecules are approximately 80 nucleotides in length. RNAcentral also lists the same sequence under 2 other names. The record is from Rfam by way of RNAcentral. Lineage: Eukaryota; Metazoa; Chordata; Mammalia; Artiodactyla; Camelidae.